This 492-nucleotide ribosomal RNA is filed under the name uncultured bacterium. RNAcentral describes it as "partial 16S ribosomal RNA". It matches the Rfam family "Bacterial small subunit ribosomal RNA", at positions 29 to 507 of the family's 1533-position model. The record is from RNAcentral.
AGUGAACGCUGGCGGUAGGCCUAACACAUGCAAGUCGAACGGCAGCACAGUAAGAGCUUGCUCUUACGGGUGGCGAGUGGCGGACGGGUGAGGAAUACAUCGGAAUCUACUUUUUCGCGGGGGAUAACGUAGGGAAACUUACGCUAAUACCGCAUACGACCUACGGGUGAAAGCAGGGGAUCUUCGGACCCUGCGCGAUUGAAUGAGCCGAUGUCGGAUUAGCUAGUUGGCGGGGUAAAGGCCCACCAAGGCGACGAUCCGUAGCUGGUCUGAGAGGAUGAUCAGCCACACUGGAACUGAGACACGGUCCAGACUCCUACGGGAGGCAGCAGUGGGGAAUAUUGGACAAUGGGCGCAAGCCUGAUCCAGCCAUACCGCGUGGGUGAAGAAGGCCUUCGGGUUGUAAAGCCCUUUUGUUGGGAAAGAAAAGCAGCAGGUUAAUACCCCGCUGUUCUGACGGUACCCAAAGAAUAAGCACCGGCUAACUUCGUG